RNAcentral lists this small nuclear RNA (106 nucleotides) under Aotus nancymaae (Ma's night monkey). Lineage: Eukaryota; Metazoa; Chordata; Mammalia; Primates; Aotidae. The record is from RNAcentral.
GUGCUUGCUUUGGCAGCACAUAUACUAAAACUGGAACAACACAGAAAAGAUUAGCAUGGCCCCUGUGCAAGGAUGACAUGCAAAUCGUGAAGCAUUCUAUAUUUUU